CGCGAAGUAGAGCAGCGGUAGCUCGUCGGGCUCAUAACCCGAAGGUCGGGAGUUCGAACCUCCCCUUCGCAACAA
This 75-nucleotide transfer RNA is filed under the name Chitinophagaceae bacterium. RNAcentral describes it as "tRNA-Met". It matches the Rfam family "tRNA". From Rfam's summary of the family: Transfer RNA (tRNA) molecules are approximately 80 nucleotides in length. Lineage: Bacteria; Pseudomonadati; Bacteroidota; Chitinophagia; Chitinophagales; Chitinophagaceae. The record is from RNAcentral.